RNAcentral lists this ribosomal RNA (454 nucleotides) under uncultured Persicobacter sp. Its description in RNAcentral is "partial 16S ribosomal RNA". It matches the Rfam family "Bacterial small subunit ribosomal RNA", at positions 341 to 792 of the family's 1533-position model. Lineage: Bacteria; Pseudomonadati; Bacteroidota; Cytophagia; Cytophagales; Persicobacteraceae. The record is from RNAcentral.
ACGGGAGGCAGCAGUAGGGAAUAUUGGGCAAUGGAAGCAAUUCUGACCCAGCCAUGCCGCGUGAAGGAAUACGGCCCUAUGGGUCUUAAACUUCUUUUAUCGCAGAGUAACCGUCGGGACGAGUCCCGGCCUGCAAGUAUGCGAUGAAUAAGUAUCGGCUAACUCCGUGCCAGCAGCCGCGGUAAUACGGAGGAUACGAGCGUUAUCCGGAUUUAUUGGGUUUAAAGGGUGCGCAGGCGGACCGUUAAGUCCUGGGUGAAAAGCUGCAGCUUAACUGCAGUCGUGCCUAAGAUACUGGCGGACUAGAGUUGAAGUGGCGUAACUGGAAUGUGAUGUGUAGCGGUGAAAUGCAUAGAUAUGUCACAGAACGCCGAUCGUGAAGACAGGUUACGAACUUCAUACUGACGCUCAUGCACGAAAGCGUGGGUAUCAAACAGGAUUAGAUACCCUGGUA